Mauremys reevesii (Reeves's turtle) is the source of this 830-nucleotide long non-coding RNA. RefSeq lists it as uncharacterized. Lineage: Eukaryota; Metazoa; Chordata; Testudines; Geoemydidae. The transcript has 3 exons. The record is from RefSeq and is a predicted model, not a curated record.
UCCUCUACAAUGUUGCCAAACACCAUCACAACGCAAUUUGGCCACAGCACCGUGUGCGCUCGUAACAUCACAAUGGGAUUGUCCUUCAUUGCCACAGCUGCUUGGAGCCUUGGGCAGCAGCACCACAGGAACAUUUCCCAUAUACCACAAUUACACAGGGCAUGACUACACAUGGGUGUGUCGCAGGCCGUUAAGGACCGGAGCAGUUUUGAGAGAGAUUUCAUUGGGUUACGGAGGGUUCCAACAUGAACUCUGGCAUUAAUCUGGAAGCAACUCCUCAAGAAUGCUGCUUGGGCUGAAUCAAUCUUUGGUUAAACCAGAGAUGGAACUGGCCUAAGCACCCAUUAACAUGUCAUGAUUGUGGGGAAAACAUCCAGACAGAGGGCUCAUAGAAUCAGGCACACAGAUUAUCGGUUCACAAACAUUUUUGAGAUUCCGUCUUUUUGUCCUGAUUUGGGACAGAGAAAAAAACCCGAAACCUUGAAAAUGCUCAUGGGACAGGAAAACCAUUUCCCACUCAGCACUUCUCAGGGGGUUCUCAGGAGCCUAAGGGAGCCACAAAAGGUUAAAGGAAAACAACCAUGGAUAGAAACAAAGUUGGAACGGAGGAUUGAGAGACAACGAGAGAGAGCGCACACUUCCCCCAGCCUCCAUGAUCCCUCCUUCUUUAAAGUAACCCAGAGAAAGGCAUCGUUCCUGCUAAGUGAAGUUUAAGCCUUGUAAGCACAGCUGAUGCAGUUAAAGAGCCCCACCAACAGCAAACAUUCAUGCAGCUCAGUGUCCGUGGAUUAAUUUGAAAUAAGGAAUAAAAAGAGGGAAGUUAUGAGGAA